Molecule: long non-coding RNA, 700 nt
Organism: Cebus imitator (Panamanian white-faced capuchin)
Lineage: Eukaryota; Metazoa; Chordata; Mammalia; Primates; Cebidae
Exons: 2
Source: RefSeq, a predicted model, not a curated record
UUUUUUUUUUUUUAAAGAAACAAAAGACUUGACAGUCAACGACUUUCAAAGAGAACAACUUCAGCUUAUUCAUAUUCUAUUCAAAGACGGUCUAUUUUUUCACUGUAGACAACGUCCUUGUGUGAUGGUUACGUUCGCAAAUGUGCGUGGCGGGCCCGUGUCUUAGCUUGCUUGAAUCUUCCCCACCAUCAGAAAGUGUGCUUUGCUCACAGAAGAAUGGGAUGUCCUGUUUUCUUUCUGGCUUCCCCCCGCCUUUUUGUUUCAUUUUUAUAAAUUAAAUUUUCAGACAUAUCAAAUACAGUUCUGAGGGUAGGGUCAUGGGGGAACUCGGACCCAGUGGUGUUGGGUUCGAACCCGCGGGGAGUGAGAUGACGGUGCUCCCCCCCGCCCCCGCAGCCUGAGCUGUCUGCCACCCCCUAGGAGACGGGGAGGAUCCUACUUCUUUGGGGACAGUGGCUGUAUCCUGCAUUACAUCAGGGACCCUUUCCCCCGGACUGUGGGGCAGUUUGGGAGCAAAACCAGAAGGACGGGACCCCCUCCACCCAUCCCCCCGAGCAAGCAAGUUGUUCCUCUUUGUACAAGGGCAGAUCUGCGGUUCCUUUCCACACUGUUUAUUCCAGCAGAAGCAGCCGGGUGGUUUUCCCACCCCCGCGUAUGUAGAUAAAUCGACUUUGUAUUAAAGGAAGAUCGUCCGACCCGG